This 273-nucleotide ribosomal RNA is filed under the name uncultured bacterium. RNAcentral's name for it is "partial 16S ribosomal RNA". It matches the Rfam family "Bacterial small subunit ribosomal RNA", at positions 524 to 796 of the family's 1533-position model. The record is from RNAcentral.
UACGUAAGGGGCGAGCGUUGUUCGGAAUUAUUGGGCGUAAAGGGCGCGCAGGCGGCUUGAUAAGUCUGGUGUUUAAGACUACGGCUUAACCGUGGGGAAGCGCUGGAAACUGUCGGGCUUGAGUUCAGGAGGGGGAGCUGGAAUUCCAGGUGUAGGGGUGAAAUCUGUAGAGAUCUGGAAGAACACCGGUGGCGAAGGCGAGCUCCUGGCCAUGGACUGACGCUGAGGCGCGAAAGCGUGGGGAGCAAACAGGAUUAGAUACCCCCGUAGUCC